Molecule: non-coding RNA, 1311 nt
Organism: Oncorhynchus mykiss (rainbow trout)
Lineage: Eukaryota; Metazoa; Chordata; Actinopteri; Salmoniformes; Salmonidae
Source: RefSeq, a predicted model, not a curated record
CCCGAUGGGUGAGGGGUUAGACUCGUGGGUGUGUCCGGAUGGAGCUGAGAGUGGAGAACUUCCUGGUCAGCCUGCUUGACAUCGGCUGGCCAGAAAGCAGGACAAGAUGAACGCCCUGCUGGGGAUUGAGAUAAUUGAGAUCCUGUCUCUGGAGAGACUGGUGAACCAGAGCCGCUGUCUGUGCCACAUUAAGCCCUGCUCAGCCUUCAUGGACCAGCUGAGGUGGACAGACAGAAGACGCUGUGGGGUCUUUGCUGGCUGCUGCAUGCCGUCAAUCUGGAUUACCCAGAACUCUGUUCUUUCAUAAUCAGGAACAUCAGGGACAGGAGACCUCUGGCACCAGAUGAGGGACAACCGUGGGAAGAUGGAGAGGCUGCAGCAAGCCCAAAGAUGAAAGGUAAGAGAGAGACUAUAACUCUGUGCCUUCAGUUAGACUCCUAGAAAAUCAUCUGUCUUGGUCAAUGUGUAGAGAUUGCAGUGACAGAAUAUGUAUCCAUGAACUAUUUCAAAGACAUUGCUUAGCGAAAGCAUUGUGGCAUUGAUAUUUUUUCAUGUAAAAUGUUGUCUCUGUGUAGGAUACGUGGCAGCAAAAAUAACCUUGAUAAAGUACAACGCCUUCAAGAAAAGGACCAAAGGCCCAGACCCCCUUCCUACAACCCAUUUGAGACAUUGACAGUUUUAGUUGCAGAUCCAUUUGAUCUUGAUAAGAUUCCUAUAGUUUCAGUACAGUAAAGGUGUUAUGUGUGAACUGAUACACAUUUUGUAUUUUAGGAUAAUAUGAAGAAAAAGAAGGGAGGCCUGCCCUGCCUGCAAACCCUCCACAACCUCGUUCUAUUACCUCAUAUCUUACAUUUAUGGAUUACAACUGGAGUUUCCAUCAGCUUUUGAAGGACAAUUUAAAAAGACCUGACAGCACAUUUUUCUUAGUAGCAACUGUGUAGGAAUUACAAAGCCAAUACACCUCUGAGAAAUGUGUGUUUAUUUUAUGUUACCAAAAUAUGUUAUAUGUGAGUGUCAAUAUUUAUUUAUUAGUGGUUAUUUAAUUAUCUGUAGUAAAAGUAAACAAUUGUUUACAAACAUGAUCAAUGUACGGACAAACUAUUUCAAUUCCUUGUAAAUAUACAUAGAGUUGAUCUGUUUAUAUUGCAAUUUUGAUGGAAAGUAAGACUUGAUUUUAUAAAGUUUCUUGGCCCCUUUGUUAUAUUAUAUGUUAUAUGUUAUAUGUUGCUCGCUUCGAGGCAAGCAACACUGAGGCAUGCAUGAGAGCAUCAGCUGUUCCCGACGACUGUGUGAUCAUGCUCUCUGAAGCUG